RNAcentral lists this ribosomal RNA (497 nucleotides) under uncultured bacterium. Its description in RNAcentral is "partial 16S ribosomal RNA". It matches the Rfam family "Bacterial small subunit ribosomal RNA", at positions 28 to 507 of the family's 1533-position model. The record is from RNAcentral.
GACGAACGCUGGCGGCGUGCCUAAUACAUGCAAGUUGAGCGCUGAAGGUUGGUACUUGUACCAACUGGAUGAGCAGCGAUCGGGUGAGUAACGCGUGGGGAAUCUGCCUUUGAGCGGGGGACAACAUUUGGAAGCGAAUGCUAAUACCGCAUAAAAACUUUAAACACAAGUUUUAAGUUUGAAAGAUGCAAUUGCAUCACUCAAAGAUGAUCCCGCGUUGUAUUAGCUAGUUGGUGAGGUAAAGGCUCACCAAGGCGAUGAUACAUAGCCGACCUGAGAGGGUGAUCGGCCACAUUGGGACUGAGACACGGCCCAAACUCCUACGGGAGGCAGCAGUAGGGAAUCUUCGGCAAUGGACGAAAGUCUGACCGAGCAACGCCGCGUGAGUGAAGAAGGUUUUCGGAUCGUAAAACUCUGUUGGUAGAGAAGAACGUUGGUGAGAGUGGAAAGCUCAUCAAGUGACGGUAACUACCCAGAAAGGGACGGCUAACUACGUG